CUUUCCCUCUGGCGGCAUGCUUUACACAUGCAAGUCGAACGGUAACAGGCCGCAAGGUGCUGACGAGUGGCGAACGGGUGAGUAAUGCAUCGGAACGUGCCCAGGCGUGGGGGAUAACUACUCGAAAGAGUAGCUAAUACCGCAUACGAUCUAUGGAUGAAAGCGGGGGACCGUAAGGCCUCGCGCGAUUGGAGCGGCCGAUGUCAGAUUAGGUAGUUGGUGGGGUAAAGGCUCACCAAGCCAACGAUCUGUAGCUGGUCUGAGAGGACGACCAGCCACACUGGGACUGAGACACGGCCCAGACUCCUACGGGAGGCAGCAGUGGGGAAUUUUGGACAAUGGGCGCAAGCCUGAUCCAGCAAUGCCGCGUGCAGGAAGAAGGCCUUCGGGUUGUAAACUGCUUUUGUACGGAACGAAACGGCUCUGGUUAAUACCCGGGGCUAAUGACGGUACCGUAAGAAUAAGCACCGGCUAACUACGUG
Molecule: ribosomal RNA, 482 nt
Filed under: uncultured bacterium
Lineage: Bacteria
Description: partial 16S ribosomal RNA
Rfam family: Bacterial small subunit ribosomal RNA
Source: RNAcentral